Molecule: ribosomal RNA, 213 nt
Filed under: uncultured Streptococcus sp.
Lineage: Bacteria; Bacillati; Bacillota; Bacilli; Lactobacillales; Streptococcaceae
Description: partial 16S ribosomal RNA
Rfam family: Bacterial small subunit ribosomal RNA
Source: RNAcentral
AAGUGGGGAUGACGUCAAACCAUCAUGCCCCUUAUGACCUGGGCUACACACGUGCUACAAUGGUUGGUACAACGAGUUGCGAGUCGGUGACGGCGAGCUAAUACUCUUAAAGCCAAUCUCAGUUCGGAUUGUAGGCUGCAACUCGCCUACAUGAAGUCGGAAUCGCUAGUAAUCGCGGAUCAGCACGCCGCGGUGAAUACGUUCCCGGGCCUU